GCGGACGUGGCGGAAUUGGUAGACGCGCUAGAUUUAGGUUCUAGUGAGCUUGCUUGUGAGAGUUCGAGUCUCUCCGUCCGCA
Molecule: transfer RNA, 82 nt
Filed under: Prochloron sp. SP5CPC1
Lineage: Bacteria; Bacillati; Cyanobacteriota; Cyanophyceae; Chroococcales; Prochloraceae
Description: tRNA-Leu
Rfam family: tRNA
About the family: Transfer RNA (tRNA) molecules are approximately 80 nucleotides in length.
Source: RNAcentral